GAUGAACGCUAGCGGCAGGCCUAAUACAUGCAAGUCGGACGGGAUUCAGGAGCUUGCUUCUGAUGAGAGUGGCGCACGGGUGCGUAACACGUAUGUAACCUACCUUUAUCAGGGGGAUAGCCUCUCGAAAGAGAGAUUAAGCCCGCAUAAAAUCACAGCACAGCAUUGUGUAAUGAUCAAAUAUUUAUAGGAUAAAGAUGGGCAUGCGGAACAUUAGCUAGAUGGCGGGGUAACGGCCCACCAUGGCGACGAUGUUUAGGGGAUCUGAGAGGAUGGCCCCCCACACUGGUACUGAGACACGGACCAGACUCCUACGGGAGGCAGCAGUAAGGAAUAGUGGGCAAUGGGCGGAAGCCUGAACCAGCCAUGCCGCGUGCAGGAAGACGGCCCUACGGGUUGUAAACUGCUUUUAUACGGGAAUAAACCCAGAUACGUGUAUCUGGCUGAAUGUACUGUAAGAAUAAGGAUCGGCUAACUCCGUG
This 482-nucleotide ribosomal RNA is filed under the name uncultured bacterium. RNAcentral describes it as "partial 16S ribosomal RNA". It matches the Rfam family "Bacterial small subunit ribosomal RNA", at positions 28 to 507 of the family's 1533-position model. The record is from RNAcentral.